This 492-nucleotide ribosomal RNA is filed under the name uncultured bacterium. Its description in RNAcentral is "partial 16S ribosomal RNA". It matches the Rfam family "Bacterial small subunit ribosomal RNA", at positions 29 to 507 of the family's 1533-position model. The record is from RNAcentral.
AGUGAACGCUGGCGGUAGGCCUAACACAUGCAAGUCGAACGGCAGCACAGUAAGAGCUUGCUCUUACGGGUGGCGAGUGGCGGACGGGUGAGGAAUACAUCGGAAUCUACUUUUUCGUGGGGGAUAACGUAGGGAAACUUACGCUAAUACCGCGUACGACCUACGGGUGAAAGCAGGGGAUCUUCGGGCCUUGCGCGAUUGAAUGAGCCGAUGUCGGAUUAGCUAGUUGGCGGGGUAAAGGCCCACCAAGGCGACGAUCCGUAGCUGGUCUGAGAGGAUGAUCAGCCACACUGGAACUGAGACACGGUCCAGACUCCUACGGGAGGCAGCAGUGGGGAAUAUUGGACAAUGGGCGCAAGCCUGAUCCAGCCAUACCGCGUGGGUGAAGAAGGCCUUCGGGUUGUAAAGCCCUUUUGUUGGGAAAGAAAAGCAGCAGGUUAAUACCCCGCUGUUCUGACGGUACCCAAAGAAUAAGCACCGGCUAACUUCGUG